This 250-nucleotide ribosomal RNA is filed under the name uncultured bacterium. Its description in RNAcentral is "partial 16S ribosomal RNA". It matches the Rfam family "Bacterial small subunit ribosomal RNA", at positions 524 to 773 of the family's 1533-position model. The record is from RNAcentral.
UACGUAGGGUGCAAGCGUUAAUCGGAAUUACUGGGCGUAAAGCGUGCGCAGGCGGUCCGCUAAGACAGAUGUGAAAUCCCCGGGCUUAACCUGGGAACUGCAUUUGUGACUGGCGGGCUAGAGUAUGGCAGAGGGGGGUAGAAUUCCACGUGUAGCAGUGAAAUGCGUAGAGAUGUGGAGGAAUACCGAUGGCGAAGGCAGCCCCCUGGGCCAAUACUGACGCUCAUGCACGAAAGCGUGGGGAGCAAAC